AGAAAUUAUGAUGUAUAUCAUAUUGUAUCUAUCAGUGAUGGGCAAAAUAUUAUUUUAAGAUUUCUUUUCUCUUUUUAAAUAUACUUUACAAUUACCUUGUUCACUUGGUUGAUUUAUUUUUUUUAGGACUUAGCCUGAAUUCUAUAAUGAAUUAAUUUUAUAAUGUGUAUUUGUUCAAUUACAAUAAAAAUUUAUUUCCUAAACAUUCUAUUUUCAGUCACUUCACAACCUUUCAUCGAUUUGUUCAUUCGCAUCUCUGUAAACAACAUUAUGAAAUCUACAAAGCGUCAUAUCUUACUGCUUAGAAGUAGUGAAAAGAGCACUGCAGUUCGGUUUGAUGAAAUUAAGUAUUUUUCCGUGCAGGUUCCCCGACGUCAAGAUGAUACACGGAAUAAUAUUUCCUUGGAACUAAUGCAACAUAGCAAGACAGAAGUUUAUCCUGUCUUAUUAGGGAAUGCUGAGGUACAUCUUUAUGAAGUAAUUCAGUUUAUCUGCAGGUUGGAGGUGGAAUUUAUGUUCUCCUAUGGAAAUUUUGGUUAUGGAUUUUCACAUCAGGUUAGUUCCCCUCUUUUAAAAACUUUGAUUCUAUUUUGA
Molecule: long non-coding RNA, 594 nt
Organism: Ictidomys tridecemlineatus (thirteen-lined ground squirrel)
Lineage: Eukaryota; Metazoa; Chordata; Mammalia; Rodentia; Sciuridae
Source: Ensembl